UGGGGAAUAUUGGACAAUGGGCGAAAGCCUGAUCCAGCAAUGCCGCGUGAGUGAUGAAGGCCUUAGGGUUGUAAAGCUCUUUUACCAGGGAUGAUAAUGACAGUACCUGGAGAAUAAGCUCCGGCUAACUCCGUGCCAGCAGCCGCGGUAAUACGGAGGGAGCUAGCGUUGUUCGGAAUUACUGGGCGUAAAGCGUGCGUAGGCGGCCAUUCAAGUCAGAGGUGAAAGCCUGGAGCUCAACUCCAGAACUGCCUUUGAAACUAGAUGGCUAGAAUCUUGGAGAGGUGAGUGGAAUUCCGAGUGUAGAGGUGAAAUUCGUAGAUAUUCGGAAGAACACCAGUGGCGAAGGCGACUCACUGGACAAGUAUUGACGCUGAGGUACGAAAGCGUGGGGAGCAAACAGGAUUAGAUACCCCCGUAGUCCCUGAGCGGGC
RNAcentral lists this ribosomal RNA (434 nucleotides) under uncultured bacterium. Its description in RNAcentral is "bacterial SSU rRNA". It matches the Rfam family "Bacterial small subunit ribosomal RNA", at positions 355 to 804 of the family's 1533-position model. The record is from RNAcentral.